This 195-nucleotide ribosomal RNA is filed under the name Escherichia coli. RNAcentral describes it as "partial 16S ribosomal RNA". It matches the Rfam family "Bacterial small subunit ribosomal RNA", at positions 1 to 203 of the family's 1533-position model. RNAcentral also lists the same sequence under 1 other name. Lineage: Bacteria; Pseudomonadati; Pseudomonadota; Gammaproteobacteria; Enterobacterales; Enterobacteriaceae. The record is from RNAcentral.
AAAUUGAAGAGUUUGAUCAUGGCUCAGAUUGAACGCUGGCGGCAGGCCUAACACAUGCAAGUCGAACGGUAACAGGAAACAGCUUGCUGUUUCGCUGACGAGUGGCGGACGGGUGAGUAAUGUCUGGGAAACUGCCUGAUGGAGGGGGAUAACUACUGGAAACGGUAGCUAAUACCGCAUAACGUCGCAAGACCA